This 274-nucleotide ribosomal RNA is filed under the name uncultured bacterium. RNAcentral's name for it is "partial 16S ribosomal RNA". It matches the Rfam family "Bacterial small subunit ribosomal RNA", at positions 523 to 796 of the family's 1533-position model. The record is from RNAcentral.
CUACAGAGGGUGCAAGCGUUAUUCGGAAUUACUGGGCGUAAAGCGCGCGUAGGCGGAUGAUUAAGUCAGUUGCGAAAGCCCUGGGCUCAACCUAGGAACUGCAUCUGAUACUGGUCAUCUAGAGUUUAAGAGGGGGAAGUGGAAUUCCAGGUGUAGCAGUGAAAUGCGUAGAUAUCUGGAGGAACAUCAGUGGCGAAGGCGACUUCCUGGCUUAGAACUGACGCUGAGGUGCGAAAGCGUGGGUAGCGAACGGGAUUAGAAACCCGUGUAGUCC